Molecule: long non-coding RNA, 448 nt
Organism: Bos taurus (domestic cattle)
Lineage: Eukaryota; Metazoa; Chordata; Mammalia; Artiodactyla; Bovidae
Source: Ensembl
GAGGGCGCUCCCACCGGGAGCCAGCAGGACGCCCACCCCCACUGUGCGCGGCGCCAGGGGCCUCUCCCGCUCAUCCUCAGCCCCGGGCCUUCACGCUCCUGACAAGAGGGCUCUCUCCUCUACCGUGGACGCGGUCGCCCCUGUGUGCCAAGGCCUGAGGGACUUCCCUCCGUCCGGCUUCUCUAGAGAAGAAACAGAGUUGGUUUCCGGCAAGCGCACCCUAACAGGUCUGGGUCACCCAUCAGAGCACCAUCUCCCACCACCACCAAGAAGGACCAGGACUUGAGCACGUUUCACAACUGAAUCUUUGGGUGUGGCUGCUGCAGUUUCUCUGAAAGUACUGCUGGGCCAUGAGAUCUGAAAAGCUUGUAAAUACUGUGGAUCGCUAACCAGAUAUGCUCUGUGUCACCUGGAUUACUUCUGUUGUUUGUGGGAAACAUCCCAGGGU